This 298-nucleotide ribosomal RNA is filed under the name Bacteroides fragilis. RNAcentral describes it as "partial 16S ribosomal RNA". It matches the Rfam family "Bacterial small subunit ribosomal RNA", at positions 1 to 291 of the family's 1533-position model. The record is from RNAcentral. Lineage: Bacteria; Pseudomonadati; Bacteroidota; Bacteroidia; Bacteroidales; Bacteroidaceae.
ACAAUGAAGAGUUUGAUCCUGGCUCAGGAUGAACGCUAGCUACAGGCUUAACACAUGCAAGUCGAGGGGCAUCAGGAAGAAAGCUUGCUUUCUUUGCUGGCGACCGGCGCACGGGUGAGUAACACGUAUCCAACCUGCCCUUUACUCGGGGAUAGCCUUUCGAAAGAAAGAUUAAUACCCGAUAGUAUAAUGAUUCCGCAUGGUUUGAUUAUUAAAGGAUUCCGGUAAAGGAUGGGGAUGCGUUCCAUUAGGUUGUUGGUGAGGUAACGGCUCACCAAGCCUUCGAUGGAUAGGGGUU